UUCCGGUUGAUCCCGCCGGAGGUCACUGCUAUUGGGGUCCGACUAAGCCAUGCGAGUCAAUAGUUCUUCGUGAACUAGGCGGACGGCUCAGUAACACGUGGGUAAUCUACCCUCAGGACAGGGAUAACCCCGGGAAACUGGGGAUAAUACCUGAUAGGUGGAGAGGUCUGGAAUGAUCCUCCGCCCAAAGCUCCGGCGCCUGAGGAUGAGCCUGCGGCCGAUUAGGUUGUUGGCGGUGUGACGGACCACCAAGCCUGAGAUCGGUACGGGCACUGANAUGUGGAGCCCGGAGAUGGGGACUGAGAAACGGCCCCAGGCCCUACGGGGCGCAGCAGGCGCGAAAACUCCGCAAUAUCAGCGAAAGCGACGGGGGGACCCCAAGUGUCAUGCCUUCGGGUAUGACUUUUGCAGAGUGUAAAAA
Molecule: ribosomal RNA, 421 nt
Filed under: uncultured archaeon
Lineage: Archaea
Description: bacterial SSU rRNA
Rfam family: Archaeal small subunit ribosomal RNA
Source: RNAcentral